Orbilia brochopaga is the source of this 90-nucleotide non-coding RNA. The record is from the annotation of a GenBank genome assembly. NCBI's taxonomy places the organism in Eukaryota, Fungi, Ascomycota, Orbiliomycetes, Orbiliales, Orbiliaceae.
GGGGCUGUAGCUCAGUUGGUAGAGCGCUUCCUUAGCGUGUCCUCGGACAUCGUUUGGAUGAGGUCCAGCGUUCAAUUCGCUGCUGCUCCA